This 440-nucleotide ribosomal RNA is filed under the name uncultured bacterium. RNAcentral describes it as "partial 16S ribosomal RNA". It matches the Rfam family "Bacterial small subunit ribosomal RNA", at positions 338 to 795 of the family's 1533-position model. The record is from RNAcentral.
CCUACGGGGGGCAGCAGUGGGGAAUAUUGCACAAUGGGGGAAACCCUGAUGCAGCGACGCCGCGUGAGUGAAGAAGGAUUUCGGUAUGUAAAACUCUAUCAGCAGGGGAGAAAAUGACGGUACCUGAUUAAGACGCCCCGGCUAAAUACGUGCCAGCAGCCGCGGUACUACGUAGGGGGCAAGCGUUAUCCGGAUUUACUGGGUGUAAAGGGAGCGUAGAAGGCAGCACAAGUCUGGAGGUAAAUGGCGGGGCUUAACCCCGGACCUGCUUUGGAAACUGGCCAGCUAGAGUGCAGGAGGGGUAAGAGGAAUGCCGAGUGUAGCGGUGAAAUGCAUAGAUAUCAGGAGGAACACCAGUGGCGAAGGCAGCUUACUGGAGUGUAACUGACGUUGAGGCUCGAAAGCGUGGGGAGCAAACAGGAUUAGAUACCCGGGUAGUC